Molecule: ribosomal RNA, 538 nt
Filed under: uncultured bacterium
Lineage: Bacteria
Description: bacterial SSU rRNA
Rfam family: Bacterial small subunit ribosomal RNA
Source: RNAcentral
GGAAUCUUGCACAAUGGAGGAAACUCUGAUGCAGCGAUGCCGCGUGAGUGAAGAAGGCCUUUGGGUUGUAAAGCUCUUUUGUAGGGGAAGAUAAUGACUGUACCCUAAGAAUAAGGUCCGGCUAACUUCGUGCCAGCAGCCGCGGUAAUACGAAGGGACCUAGCGUAGUUCGGAAUUACUGGGCGUAAAGCGCGCGUAGGCCGUUGAGUUAGUUAAUUGUGAAAUCCCAAAGCUUAACUUUGGGACUGCAAUUAAAACUGCUCGACUAGAGUUUGAUAGAGGAAAGCGGAAUACAUAGUGUAGAGGUGAAAUUCGUAGAUAUUAUGUAGAACACCAGUUGCGAAGGCGGCUUUCUGGAUCAACACUGACGCUGAGGCGCGAAAGUAUGGGUAGCAAAGAGGAUUAGAUACCCUCGUAGUCCAUACCAUAAGCGAUGAUUGCUAGAUGUUGGAAAUUUAUUUUCAGUAUCGCAGCUAACGCAUUAAGCAAUCCGCCUGGGGAGUACGACCGCAAGGUUAAAACUCAAAUGAAUUGACGG